GACGAACGCUGGCGGCGUGCUUAACACAUGCAAGUCGAACGCUGAAGCUCAGCUUUUGUUGGGUGGAUGAGUGGCGAACGGGUGAGUAACACGUGAGUAACCUGCCCCCUUCUUUGGGAUAACGCCCGGAAACGGGUGCUAAUACUGGAUAUUCACUGGUCUUCGCAUGGGGGUUGGUGGAUAGGGUUUUUCUGGUGGGGGAUGGGCUCGCGGCCUAUCAGCUUGUUGGUGGGGUGAUGGCCUACCAAGGCUUUGACGGGUAGCCGGCCUGAGAGGGUGACCGGUGACAUUGGGACUAAGAUACGGCCCAGACUCCGACGGGAGGCAGCAGUGGGGAAUAUUGAACAAUGGGGGCAAGACUGAUGCAGCGACGCCGCGUGAGGGAUGGAGGCCUUAGGGUUGUGAACCUCUUUCGCUCAUGGUCAAGCCGAAACAAUGGUUGUGGUGAGGGUAGUGGGUAAAGAAGCGCCGGCUAACUACGUG
This 483-nucleotide ribosomal RNA is filed under the name uncultured bacterium. RNAcentral's name for it is "partial 16S ribosomal RNA". It matches the Rfam family "Bacterial small subunit ribosomal RNA", at positions 28 to 507 of the family's 1533-position model. The record is from RNAcentral.